This is a long non-coding RNA of Chelonia mydas (Green sea turtle), 234 nucleotides long. RefSeq lists it as uncharacterized. Lineage: Eukaryota; Metazoa; Chordata; Testudines; Cheloniidae. The record is from RefSeq and is a predicted model, not a curated record. The transcript is spliced from 2 exons.
CAGCUGAGGGCUGUAGGAAGCAAAAGGCUCCUGCAGGCCCAGCUAAGAUGCCAGAGGAGUAAAGACUCUAGCGAGACCUAUGAGCAGCAAUGGUCUAGAACUGGUUUCAUCACCCUCACAGAAGAGUGAAUGCUAAGGAGGCAGCUGAGUGAAAAAUGCUGACUCUAAUAAGUGAAUGCAGAAUGUUUCCAUCUAGUGUAGGAUGCAUGGGUGUUUUCAAACUACCCUAGAAAA